RNAcentral lists this ribosomal RNA (556 nucleotides) under uncultured bacterium. RNAcentral describes it as "bacterial SSU rRNA". It matches the Rfam family "Bacterial small subunit ribosomal RNA", at positions 367 to 918 of the family's 1533-position model. The record is from RNAcentral.
GACAUGGGGGCACCUGAUCAUCCAUUCCGCGUGAGUGAAGAAGGCCUUCGGGUUGUAAAGCUCUUUCGCAAGGGAAGAAAACUUAUGAUCGAAUAAAUCAUGAGGUUGACGGUACCUUGAUAAGAAGCACCGGCUAACUACGUGCCAGCAGCCGCGGUAAUACGUAGGGUGCGAGCGUUAAUCGGAAUUACUGGGCGUAAAGCGUGCGCAGGCGGUUUUGUAAGUCGGAUGUGAAAUCCCCGGGCUCAACCUGGGAACUGCGUUCGAAACUGCAAGGCUAGAGUGUGUCAGAGGGGGGUAGAAUUCCACGUGUAGCAGUGAAAUGCGUAGAGAUGUGGAGGAAUACCAAUGGCGAAGGCAGCCCCCUGGGAUAACACUGACGCUCAUGCACGAAAGCGUGGGGAGCAAACAGGAUUAGAUACCCUGGUAGUCCACGCCCUAAACGAUGUCAACUAGUUGUUGGUAGAGUAAAAUCUAUGAGUAACGUAGCUAACGCGUGAAGUUGACCGCCUGGGGAGUACGGUCGCAAGAUUAAAACUCAAAGGAAUUGACGGNA